RNAcentral lists this ribosomal RNA (468 nucleotides) under uncultured bacterium. Its description in RNAcentral is "partial 16S ribosomal RNA". It matches the Rfam family "Bacterial small subunit ribosomal RNA", at positions 28 to 507 of the family's 1533-position model. The record is from RNAcentral.
GGCGAACGCUGGCGGCGUGCUUAACACAUGCAAGUCGAACGGAAAGACCCUGCUUUUGUGGGGUGCUCGAGUGGCGAACGGGUGAGUAACACGUGAGUAACCUGCCCUUGACUUUGGGAUAACUUCAGGAAACUGGAGCUAAUACCGGAUAGCAGCUCCUGCUGCAUGGUGGGGGUUGGAAAUUUUCGGCGGUCGGGGUUGGACGGGCGGCUUAUCGGCUUGUUGGUUGGGUAGUGGUUUACCAAGGCUUUGACGGGUAGCCGGCCUGAGAGGGUGAACGGGCACAUGAGGACUGCGGGAGGGAGCAGACGGCUACGGGGGGCAGUAGUGGGAAGUAUUGCACAGUGGGCGGGAGUGUGAGGAAGAAGCGCUGCGUGCGGGAUGACGGUCUGCGGGGUGAAAACCGCUUUCGCCUGUGACGAAGCGGGUGUGACGGUAAUGGGUAAAGAAGCACCGGCUAACUACGUG